UCCUCAGUGGUUCAACGGGUAAAGAAUCUGCCUGCAAAGCAGAAGAUGUGGGUUUGAUUCCUGGCUUAGGAA
This 72-nucleotide transfer RNA is filed under the name Ovis aries (sheep). It matches the Rfam family "tRNA". From Rfam's summary of the family: Transfer RNA (tRNA) molecules are approximately 80 nucleotides in length. Their secondary structure includes four short double-helical elements and three loops (D, anti-codon, and T loops). Further hydrogen bonds mediate the characteristic L-shaped molecular structure. tRNAs have two regions of fundamental functional importance: the anti-codon, which is responsible for specific mRNA codon recognition, and the 3' end, to which the tRNAs corresponding amino acid is attached (by aminoacyl-tRNA synthetases). tRNAs cope with the degeneracy of the genetic code in two manners: having more than one tRNA (with a specific anti-codon) for a particular amino acid; and 'wobble' base-pairing, i.e. permitting non-standard base-pairing at the 3rd anti-codon position. The record is from Rfam by way of RNAcentral. Lineage: Eukaryota; Metazoa; Chordata; Mammalia; Artiodactyla; Bovidae.